UAAGGUUCUUGUAGUGAGUUA
RNAcentral lists this transfer RNA (21 nucleotides) under Liparis liparis (striped seasnail). RNAcentral's name for it is "partial tRNA-Glu". The record is from RNAcentral. Lineage: Eukaryota; Metazoa; Chordata; Actinopteri; Perciformes; Liparidae.